UACGUAGGGUGCGAGCGUUGUCCGGAAUUAUUGGGCGGAAAGAGCUCGUAGGCGGCUUGUUGCGUCGGAUGUGAAAGCCCGGGGCUUAACUCCGGGUCUGCAUUCGAUACGGGCAGGCUAGAGUUCGGUAGGGGAGAUCGGAAUUCCUGGUGUAGCGGUGAAAUGCGCAGAUAUCAGGAGGAACACCCGUGGCGAAAGCGGCUCUCUGGGACGGUACUGACGCUGAGACGCGAAAGCGUGGGGAGCAAACAGG
RNAcentral lists this ribosomal RNA (253 nucleotides) under uncultured bacterium. RNAcentral describes it as "partial 16S ribosomal RNA". It matches the Rfam family "Bacterial small subunit ribosomal RNA", at positions 524 to 776 of the family's 1533-position model. The record is from RNAcentral.